This is a long non-coding RNA of Oncorhynchus tshawytscha (Chinook salmon), 365 nucleotides long. NCBI's taxonomy places the organism in Eukaryota, Metazoa, Chordata, Actinopteri, Salmoniformes, Salmonidae. The record is from Ensembl.
GUGUCAGUGUUGUUUGUGUGUAUCAAUGUGUGUGUCAGUGUGUGUGUGUGUGUGGUUGUGUCAGUGUGUGUGUGUGGUUGUGUCAGUGUGUGUGUGUAGUUGUGUCAGUGUGUGUGUGUGUGUGCGUGUGUGUUGAUUAUGUAUCAGUGUGUGUGUGUGUGGUUGUGUCAGGGUGUGUGUGUGGUUGUGUCAGGGUGUGUGUGUGGUUGUGUCAGGGUGUGUGUGUGGUUGUGUCAGGGUGUGUGUGUGGUUGUGUCAGGGUGUGUGUGUGUGUGCGUGUGUGUUGAUUAUGUAUCAGUGUGUGUGUGUGUGGUUGUGUCAGGGUGUGUGUGUGGUUGUGUCAGUGUGUGUGUGUGGUUGUGUCA